CCUUGUUACGACUUCACCCUAAUCAUCUGUCCCACCUUAGGCGGCUGGUUCCUAAAAGGUUACCCCACCGACUUUGGGUGUUACAAACUCUCAUGGUGUGACGGGCGGUGUGUACAAGGCCCGGGAACGUAUUCACCGCGGCAUGCUGAUCCGCGAUUACUAGCGAUUCCGACUUCAUGUAGGCGAGUUGCAGCCUACAAUCCGAACUGAGAAUGGCUUUAAGAGAUUAGCUUACUCUCGCGAGUUCGCAACUCGUUGUACCAUCCAUUGUAGCACGUGUGUAGCCCAGGUCAUAAGGGGCAUGAUGAUUUGACGUCAUCCCCACCUUCCUCCGGUUUGUCACCGGCAGUCUCACCAGAGUGCCCAACUUAAUGCUGGCAACUGAUAAUAAGGGUUGCGCUCGUUGCGGGACUUAACCCAACAUCUCACGACACGAGCUGACGACAACCAUGCACCACCUGUAUCCAUGUCCCCGAAGGGAACGUCUAAUCUCUUAGAUUUGCAUAGUAUGUCAAGACCUGGUAAGGUUCUUCGCGUAGCUUCGAAUUAAACCACAUGCUCCACCGCUUGUGCGGGCCCCCGUCAAUUCCUUUGAGUUUCAGCCUUGCGGCCGUACUCCCCAGGCGGAAUGCUUAAUGCGUUAGCUGCAGCACUGAAGGGCGGAAACCCUCCAACACUUAGCAUUCAUCGUUUACGGUAUGGACUACCAGGGUAUCUAAUCCUGUUUGCUACCCAUACUUUCGAGCCUCAGCGUCAGUUACAGACCAGACAGCCGCCUUCGCCACUGGUGUUCUUCCAUAUAUCUACGCAUUUCACCGCUACACAUGGAGUUCCACUGUCCUCUUCUGCACUCAAGUUUCCCAGUUUCCGAUGCACUUCUUCGGUUGAGCCGAAGGCUUUCACAUCAGACUUAAAAAACCGCCUGCGCUCGCUUUACGCCCAAUAAAUCCGGACAACGCUUGCCACCUACGUAUUACCGCGGCUGCUGGCACGUAGUUAGCCGUGGCUUUCUGGUUAAAUACCGUCAAUACCUGAACAGUUACUCUCAGAUAUGUUCUUCUUUAACAACAGAGUUUUACGAGCCGAAACCCUUCUUCACUCACGCGGCGUUGCUCCAUCAGACUUUCGUCCAUUGUGGAAGAUUCCCUACUGCUGCCUCCCGUAGGAGUUUGGGCCGUGUCUCAGUCCCAAUGUGGCCGAUUACCCUCUCAGGUCGGCUACGUAUCAUUGCCAUGGUGAGCCGUUACCCCACCAUCUAGCUAAUACGCCGCGGGACCAUCCAAAAGUGAUAGCCGAAGCCAUCUUUCAAGCUCGGACCAUGCGGUCCAAGUUGUUAUGCGGUAUUAGCAUCUGUUUCCAGGUGUUAUCCCCCGCUUCUGGGCAGGUUUCCCACGUGUUACUCACCAGUUCGCCACUCACUCAAAUGUAAAUCAUGAUGCAAGCACCAAUCAAUACCAGAGUUCGUUCGACUUGCAUGUAUUAGGCA
Molecule: ribosomal RNA, 1486 nt
Filed under: Lactobacillus sp. T23/3
Lineage: Bacteria; Bacillati; Bacillota; Bacilli; Lactobacillales; Lactobacillaceae
Description: partial 16S ribosomal RNA
Source: RNAcentral